UGUGAAAAAGGAAUGGUGGGCCCCUCU
Molecule: non-coding RNA, 27 nt
Filed under: Homo sapiens (human)
Lineage: Eukaryota; Metazoa; Chordata; Mammalia; Primates; Hominidae
Source: RNAcentral